CAAAGGUAUGGUCCAGGCCUUAAUAUCAGCUCUAGCUCAACUUACACAUGCAAGUCUCCGCAACCCAGUGAACUUUGCCCUCACCCCCCGCCCGGGGGUGAGGAGCAGGCAUCAGGCACAAACACUAGCCCAAGACGCCGAGCCAAGCCACACCCCCAAGGGUAUUCAGCAGUGAUAGACAUUAAGCCAUAAGUGAAAACUUGACUAAGUCAGAGCCAAGAGGGCCGGUAAAACUCGUGCCAGCCACCGCGGUUAAACGAGAGGCCCUAGUUGACAUUACAACGGCGUAAAGGGUGGUUAAGGACAAAUAAUAAUAAAGCCAAAUGGCCCUUCGGCAGUUACACGCUUUCUAGAUGUCUGAGGCCCGAUUAUACGAAAGUAGCUUUAAUAAACUAACCUGACCCCACGAAAGCUGAGAAACAAACUGGGAUUAGAUACCCCACUAUGCUCAGCCGUAAACCUAGACAUUAAUUUACAAUAAAAUGUCCGCCAGGGUAUUACGAGCAUUAGCUUAAAACCCAAAGGACCUGACGGUGUUUCAGAUCCACCUAGAGGAGCCUGUUCUAUAACUGAUAACCCCCGUUAAACCUCACCACUUCUAGUCACCCCAGUCUAUAUACCACCGUCGUAAGCUUACCCUGUGAGGGCAGAAAAGUGAGCAAAAUGAGUAUAACCCAGAACGUCAGGUCGAGGUGUAGCGCAUGAAGUGGGAAGAAAUGGGCUACAUUUUCUGUACAGAAUAUUACGGACGUGCACCAUGAAACAGUGCUUGAAGGAGGAUUUAGAAGUAAAAGGAAAACAGAGUGUCCCUUUGAACUAGGCUCUGAAACGCGUACACACCGCCCGUCAUUCUCCCUGUCUAAAAUAUAUAAAUAUACAUAAUACCUCUUAACAGAUAUAAGGGAGGCAAGUCGUAACAAGGUAAGUGUACCGGAAGGUGCACUUGGAAAAACC
This 954-nucleotide non-coding RNA is filed under the name Rohtee ogilbii. RNAcentral's name for it is "12S rRNA". It matches the Rfam family "Bacterial small subunit ribosomal RNA". The record is from RNAcentral. Lineage: Eukaryota; Metazoa; Chordata; Actinopteri; Cypriniformes; Cyprinidae.